This is a long non-coding RNA of Ricinus communis (castor bean), 799 nucleotides long. RefSeq lists it as uncharacterized. The transcript is spliced from 3 exons. NCBI's taxonomy places the organism in Eukaryota, Viridiplantae, Streptophyta, Magnoliopsida, Malpighiales, Euphorbiaceae. The record is from RefSeq and is a predicted model, not a curated record.
GCUGCUAUUAAGGUUUUUUAGUUAGUAGCAAAUGGAAAAAAUUUGGGAAUAUGUUGUAGCAUGUGUGUGGAAGUUCAUAGCAUUGACGAAUCGAAGUUAAGAACCUGAAUUUGUGCUUGCUCACAGGGACACGCAUGGUGAAUAUGGUCCCCUGGUGGGACUUGCUUCGCUGCGAUAAACCAUGAUGACAUCAUCAUCUGUAAAGCAGAAGGAGGAGUCCUUGUUCCCACUAUUUCUUGCUACACUUUCUAUUCAAAUGCAGCAGGUUUAAGGUAAACAGAGUUGAGUUAUUAUGUUUUGUGCAUUGACAGGUUUAUAGCUGCAUUCGGCAUUGAGAAUAAGGUAGCAGUUUGGCAAUCCUCUGGAAAAUUCAUGUACAUCACUAUCCUCCUCAGUUAUUUUGGUGUCCACCCGCUUGUUCUCUGAAAUUCCGUGCUGAAUGGCACGAGGAUGGUACUGAGAUGUUAGGCAAGAUAUACGGGUUAGCCAUGGACUCUAUGCGCUGGACUGGUGUGCAUGACAACCCUGUGGAAACGAAAGAGCUGCAGUGCAUUGGUGUGGAUGACGAGUCUGAAGAAAAUGAAGAACUUGUAGAGAAGGAUUUCUCUUUAAAUUCCAGAGAUGAUGAUGAGGGUGGCCACCCAAUAGAGGGUAGACCCUUAGUGUUUCGAAGCCCCCAGUCUUUUCCUUUUCCUCAUUUGUAGACCCUUGGUUUAGGCUUGAUGUUCCUUCUGAGUUUACGAAGCUGUGCAUAAUAUCAAUUGUUAAGAUAUGUUAUAUAAAAGUUUUAAUUUUUUCU